This 197-nucleotide unclassified non-coding RNA is filed under the name plant metagenome. RNAcentral's name for it is "partial contains small subunit ribosomal RNA, internal transcribed spacer 1, and 5.8S ribosomal RNA". The record is from RNAcentral.
UCUCCGUUGGUGAACCAGCGGAGGGAUCAUUACCGAGUUUACAACUCCCAAACCCCUGUGAACAUACCUAUCGUUGCCUCGGCGGUGCCCGCUCCGGCGGCCCGCCAGAGGACCCCCAAACUCUUGUUUUAUACAGUAUCUUCUGAGUAUCACGAUUAAAUAAAUCAAAACUUUCAACAACGGAUCUCUUGGUUCUG